This is a long non-coding RNA of Rhagoletis zephyria (snowberry fruit fly), 118 nucleotides long. RefSeq lists it as uncharacterized. Lineage: Eukaryota; Metazoa; Arthropoda; Insecta; Diptera; Tephritidae. The record is from RefSeq and is a predicted model, not a curated record.
AUAAAAAAAAUGUGGGUAUGUUUUUUCAAUAUAGAGCAGUCCUAGGGGGUUGGAGCAUUAAAAUUCCGACUUUCCUUAUUUUGGACCACCCUACUAUACAUACAUAUUUGCAAGCAAG